This 464-nucleotide ribosomal RNA is filed under the name Clathrina sp. 1 AR-2011. RNAcentral's name for it is "partial 28S ribosomal RNA". Lineage: Eukaryota; Metazoa; Porifera; Calcarea; Clathrinida; Clathrinidae. The record is from RNAcentral.
AAAAGAAACUUUGGAGAGAGAGUUAAAAGCACGUGAAGCCGUUGAAAGGGAAACGCGCUCGGCUAGCAAUGUGCCACGACGGUUCAGCCGUUUUGGGCGGCGAGAUGGCUGCUGUCGGAUCCGAAUGGACCGCGGUGGUUGUCGUCGUCGCACCGAAAUGCGGUGCACUCUUUCGUGGUACGCGUCAGCGUCGGUUCGUAGCGGGCGACAAGGCCUUGCGGAAGGUAGCUCGGGGCUUGCUCUGAGUGUUAUAGACGCAGGUGCUGGGUCUGCUGCGGACCGAGGAGAGAGAGUAUCGUUGCAGCGCAUGCCGCAAGGCUAGCUACCUGCUGUCCGGCUCGCUUCACGGAUUGAGGACUGCUCGCAGUGCUCGGCCCGGCGGGGUGGUCUGGCGGUGGUGUGGUAUAAAUGCGCUCAGGACGCUGGCGUCCAAAUGGCCGUGCGUGACCCGUCUUGAAAACACG